This 119-nucleotide small nuclear RNA is filed under the name Strigamia maritima. RNAcentral describes it as "U5 spliceosomal RNA". It matches the Rfam family "U5 spliceosomal RNA". From Rfam's summary of the family: U5 RNA is a component of both types of known spliceosome. The precise function of this molecule is unknown, though it is known that the 5' loop is required for splice site selection and p220 binding, and that both the 3' stem-loop and the Sm site are important for Sm protein binding and cap methylation. The record is from RNAcentral. Lineage: Eukaryota; Metazoa; Arthropoda; Chilopoda; Geophilomorpha; Linotaeniidae.
AGCUCUGGAUCCUUUGCAGUUGCCCGAGAAAAUCUUUCGCCUUUUACUAAAGAUUUCCGUGCAAAGGAUCAAACUAUGAGUAACACUCAUUUUUUGGAAUCCCCUCGAAAGAGCGGGAU